GAGAGAAGAGAGAAGAUGGGUUGUUGAACAGAGGAGAGAGAAAGGGAUUUUGGGAUAAAAAUGAAUUAAGAAAAGUAAGAAUGAAUCGGUAAAAGAGUGGGGAAAUCACGUGAGAAGGUGAAACGAAGAKAAAUUCAAUGGGUUUUGGUGGAGSCCACUAGUAAUGGUAUGAGAAAAAAAAAUGGUGGGUUGUUAAUGAAGASGGAGAAUGARUUAUAAAAUUGGAUUUAUGUGGAUUAAUUUGGAAGAUAAUGUAAUUUCAAUUGGAAACAAAAAUAUGUUGAAGUUAAAUUGGAUUAAGGCAUGAAUUCAUUUGGUAUUGAAUCGAUAUUUCAGGUGAAGCAGAAAUUGGAACGAAGGACGACCGAGUUUGAAGGAUUUGCUGAACCUGAGUAUCUGAGUUUCUGAGUUUCAAGAAGAAUUUAGUUCAGCUUCUGCCACCCCGAGUUGUUCAAGAGUUGCRUAUCCCUUUGUAUGUAAUUUAGUUGGUUUGUAAGAAAUUUUAUGUGCAUUCUGUUGAUAGGAAAAGAAUGUAUCGAAUGGAUGUAAGAAUGAUUGUUUGGUUAAGAUUAAUAUUUCAUUGUGCA
Molecule: non-coding RNA, 587 nt
Organism: Momordica charantia (bitter melon)
Lineage: Eukaryota; Viridiplantae; Streptophyta; Magnoliopsida; Cucurbitales; Cucurbitaceae
Source: RefSeq, a predicted model, not a curated record